AGCAACACGUCGAUUUAAUUUUGCCAAAACGAUCAUGUUUAAAUUUUAAUACCAAUCUUUUUUUGUUUAUUUUUUAACAAUCUUACUAAUUUCAUGUAAUAUUUUUAACAGUCAUAAAGUACCUAUAAAUUGCAACGUAAUAUCACUUCGUCUAUGGUUUAAAUUUUGUAUGUAUAUUAAUCAUUGUAAACUUAACUGGCUUAGAGUCUUUGGUAUUGCGCAGUCUAAAUUAGACCUAGUUAACUCAUAACUGAAUUGCUACAUGAUGAAUACUACAAUAAAAUUAGUAGGUUACCUUUAGACCUUCUAAAUGUGUGAUACAAUAUAAUUAAUCAGUCCAAAACUAUUUUGAACAGGAACUAGCUAGUUGUAAGAUAAAAAUAAAUUCAAGAUCCAAAUUGGUUUAUAAAUGACGGAGUUAUAAGGCAAUGAACAAAAGAAAAUACUGUCGAAUUAAGAACCUCGUUAUUUUUGAAAUCGUUUGAAAACAAUGAUGUAAAUUGUUUCGCAUAGUGCGAUUGUAGAUAUGGCGCCAAUAAAGAUAUUGUUGCUGAUAUCUGAUAACACUGUUUCGGCAUAUUGGUUGAUUUGGCAUUUGUUUUGUCGUGAUGAAUUGCAUAAAAUAAGAAAAAAUUAGUACAUAAUCAGUAUAAACAUGAUUGAAAGGGUUUCGUGCGGUAAUCCUCCAUUUUUCGCUGAGCAUGAGCAUAAAGUAUCGUUGAGCAUGAUGCCGGCCCUGAUAAUAUUAUCAGUUUACGGGUGCUUAACGUAUAACCGUCGUGCAAUUUCCCACAGAGCCUUAAAAGCAAAUACCUUCCUUUGAAUCAAGACACAAUAGCAGGGCAAGAGUCAGACACAUUAGUGACAUGCGAUAAAAUUCAAUAAGAAAUCAAAGUAAUCAUCAUCAGUAGGAGCAAACCAUUCAAUAAGGAUUUUUAUAUUAACUGUGAGGUACGAUUAUAAAAAAAUCGGCGUUUAGCUUCUUAACAGCUCAUCUCGUGGCAUGUUACUAUAGAUCAGAGAAUACGCUGUGCCACACUUGCCACCUCUCUUGCUAGUCAUGUACAAUAGGGUUACAAAAUUGAGAGCUGUUAAUCAUAUUUUUGGUGACUUCAUUAUAUUCCUUUUUUGAUAAUAAAUCAUUUUAUACAUUAUCGAAAAUAUGUAUAUAAUAAUAGUUUAUUUAUUUAUCUCACAACUUUUUUGAAUACAAUAAAACAUUUAAUAUAAUACCAUAGAUACAUCAAAGUUGUAGAGAACUGGUGCCUGAACUGGUAUAUGUAAUAUAUUUAUAAAAUAGUCUGUUAUUAAAUGUAAAAAUAAUAUAAUUUUCGAUAAAAUUCAUUUUAUCUUUUUGUCUAUAAAGAUAAUGUCAAAUCGUAAUUAUA
RNA transcript from Galleria mellonella (greater wax moth), 1388 nucleotides. RefSeq lists it as uncharacterized. The transcript is spliced from 6 exons. The record is from RefSeq and is a predicted model, not a curated record. Lineage: Eukaryota; Metazoa; Arthropoda; Insecta; Lepidoptera; Pyralidae.